AUGGGCCUACGGGGGGCAGCAGUGGGGAAUUUUGCGCAAUGGGGGAAACCCUGACGCAGCAACGCCGCGUGCGGGAUGACGGCCUUCGGGUUGUAAACCGCUUUCAGUAGGGACGAAUUUUGACGGUACCUACAGAAGAAGCCCCGGCUAACUACGUGCCAGCAGCCGCGGCUAUACGUAGGGGGCGAGCGUUAUCCGGAUUCAUUGGGCGUAAAGCGCGCGUAGGCGGUCAUGUAAGCG
This 240-nucleotide ribosomal RNA is filed under the name uncultured bacterium. RNAcentral describes it as "partial 16S ribosomal RNA". It matches the Rfam family "Bacterial small subunit ribosomal RNA", at positions 333 to 589 of the family's 1533-position model. The record is from RNAcentral.